Molecule: transfer RNA, 70 nt
Filed under: Marmota monax (woodchuck)
Lineage: Eukaryota; Metazoa; Chordata; Mammalia; Rodentia; Sciuridae
Description: tRNA.Ala
Source: RNAcentral
GGGCUGGGGCUCAGUGGAAGAGCGCCUGCCUAGCACGUGUGAGGCACUGAGUUUGAUUCUCAGCACUACA